UGGGGAAUAUUGCACAAUGGGCGCAAGCCUGAUGCAGCCAUGCCGCGUGUGUGAAGAAGGCCUUCGGGUUGUAAAGCACUUUCAGCGAGGAGGAAGGGUAGUGUGUUAAUAGCACAUUGCAUUGACGUUACUCGCAGAAAAAGCACCGGCUAACUCCGUGCCAGCAGCCGCGGUAAUACGGAGGGUGCAAGCGUUAAUCGGAAUUACUGGGCGUAAAGCGCACGCAGGCGGUUUGUUAAGUCAGAUGUGAAAUCCCCGCGCUUAACGUGGGAACUGCAUUUGAAACUGGCAAGCUAGAGUCUUGUAGAGGGGGGUAGAAUUCCAGGUGUAGCGGUGAAAUGCGUAGAGAUCUGGAGGAAUACCGGUGGCGAAGGCGGCCCCCUGGACAAAGACUGACGCUCAGGUGCGAAAGCGUGGGGAGCAAACA
Molecule: ribosomal RNA, 427 nt
Filed under: uncultured bacterium
Lineage: Bacteria
Description: partial 16S ribosomal RNA
Rfam family: Bacterial small subunit ribosomal RNA
Source: RNAcentral